GCUUGGUGAGGGAGGAGACAAAGAGAAUGGGAAAAAGCAGGUGGACCCUCAAGAGAACGUGGAUGCCCGCCAACUGUAGCUGGUGUGAAUGUGUGAAUGGGGUGGCAGACGGGGAAGGGUGGGGGAGAAGAAAGGGACACAGGAGAGACUGAGGCGCCCAGGAUGGCCAAGGGGCCAGACAAAUCCCAGAAGCGGCUGGCAGCAGGGCAACCCCUGGUCCCUGCCAUAGUUCUUACUGGCUGCCAAUACCACUACUUCCUCCCUCAUCUCUUCAGACCCAAAGGAGGUGAUGACUUCCUGCGUUACCAGCACCGAGAGCCUCUACAUCCCUUGCCAGCUUCCUUAACCCUGCCCACAGUUCUGUAAAUGGUUCCUUCAUUAAAUUUUGCCUCUAUGGGCCCUUUUG
Long non-coding RNA from Pan troglodytes (chimpanzee), 406 nucleotides. RefSeq lists it as uncharacterized. NCBI's taxonomy places the organism in Eukaryota, Metazoa, Chordata, Mammalia, Primates, Hominidae. The transcript is spliced from 2 exons. The record is from RefSeq and is a predicted model, not a curated record.